GCCUUGGGGUCCACUGCAGGAGGUGGGGGCGGGUCAGAGCAGAGCCAGCAGCCGCGCAUCCAGGCAGGCCUGGCCCAGGGCCCCGCCAACGCCCCUUCUGAUGUUGAACACGGGUUCUCUGGCAGGUGGAACAGGAACCGGGGCCCAGGACGCUCAGUGCUGUGAUGUGCCCCUGCCCUGCUUUCAGCUUCUCUCUCCCGGGAUUCUGGCAGAAUUGGAGAGUACCCCAGGACUCCUCCAGCUCUACAGUCUGUGGCACUGUGGAUCCUGCAGAUCCGGUACUCAGGGGAACCAAGUCAGCCCUGUCCUCCUGAUACAUUUGGAUAAUCCCCCACAACUCAACUCUGCCCAUGGAGGUGGGGAUGGUAAUUAUUCCCUCCAUUCUAUGGAUGCAAAAACUGAGUUUUGGAGAGUAACUUGCCCAUGGUCACACAGCUAAGGGAGUGAGCAGCUGGGAUUAGAAUCACAUGGCUGAGACUGUGGACCAAAGGACAGACAUGCUCAUGAGAGGAGCUUUACUCCUGCAAUAGGCUGUCUAUAAAGAUGUCUGGAGGCCGGGCGCAGUGGUUUACGCCUGUAAUCCCAGCACUUUGGGAGGUCAAGGCAGGCGGAUCACCUGAGGUCAGGAGUUCGAGACCAGCCUGGCCAACAUGGCAAAACCCCAUUUCUACUAAAACGUACAAAAAUUAGCCGGGCGUGGUGGUGGGCACCUGUAAUCACAGCUACUUGGGAGACUGAGGGAGAAUUGCUUGAACCUGGGAGGCAGAGGUUGUGGUGAGCCAAGAUCGCACCAUUGCACUCCAGCCGGGGCGACAGAACAAGACUCUGUCUCAAAAAUAAAUAAAAUAAAAUAAUUAAAGAUGUCUGGAAGACUCUUGUUCCAAAGGUGUAUGUACUGCCUGAUUGACACAGUGCCCAAGAGCC
This 924-nucleotide long non-coding RNA is filed under the name Homo sapiens (human). RNAcentral's name for it is "HSALNT0231762". Lineage: Eukaryota; Metazoa; Chordata; Mammalia; Primates; Hominidae. The record is from RNAcentral.